AUCGCCCUGCGCACGUGCGCCACAGUGCGCCAUAGCUUUCUCUGCACUUUAAACGUAAAUAUAUGUAUCUGUAUGUAUCUAAUAAACAUACAGAUUUCGAAAGCAAGUUACAUCGAUAGAUCUGUAUUCGGGCUUUUGUUAUCAGUGGCUCAUCGCAGAUAAGAACAGCGGAUUCUAUAUUCUCUUAAUGAAGCCACCCCUGCACCAUCCUGCCUUCUUCUUUCUUGUAAAUAGAUAAACAAAACGCGGUGAUUACAAGAAAUGUUUCAUUGAUUGGAUUUAACCUCCUGAAGCAUAUUUGAGUUUUGCAUUGGUGAACGAAGAAACAAUCGUUUUGCAGCUUCUUUCAACUUAAAACUAUCUAGCAUUACUGUAAUCAUGUCAACGACAUUGGCAUUACCACAGAAAAAGUAUUAUAGGCAACGCGCACAUUCGAAUCCUAUAGCCGAUCACUGCAUCGAGUAUCCGACAAAACCUGAAUUAAUGGAUUGGAGUACCUUAUAUCCACAGCACUUUCAGAGUAACACUAAGCAAACGCCAGAAGUACAGAAACAUGUGGAAUUUGCUGACAUUGGUUGCGGUUAUGGAGGAUUACUGGUUACUCUGUCCUCGAUGUUCCCUGACAAUCUGAUACUUGGCAUGGAAAUCAGAGUAAAAGUAUCAGACUACGUUAUGGAUCGCAUUGCCGCUCUACGGUCGCAAAAUCCUGGUCGAUACCAAAACAUUGCCUGCCUGAGAACAAACGCCAUGAAAUAUCUACCAAAUUAUUUUUACAAAGGACAGCUAAAGAAGAUGUUUUUCCUGUAUCCAGAUCCACAUUUCAAAAAGUCGAAGCAUAAAUGGAGGAUAAUUAACAAGUCUCUGUUAGCGGAAUACGCUUAUGUUCUAGCCGAAGGAGCUAUUGUAUAUACUGUAACAGACGUGGAGGACCUACAUAAAUGGAUAAUUCAACAUUUUCAAGAGCAUCCACUGUUUGAAGAAGUUGCCAAGCAGGAUUUGGCAGCGGAUCCUGUAGUAGAAAAAUUAUACGAAAGCACUGAAGAAGGCAAGAAAGUCACUAGGAACAAAGGAAAUAAGUUUCUGGCCGUGUUCAGGAGAAUUGCAGAUCCUUGUAUUGCGACGAAUAGCUAGCAGUGGCAAUUAUUUGGCUAUAAUUACUCAACGAAGGAUAUUCUGGAUGAAGAGCGAUCUUCUUGCUGCUCGACAAAAACAUCUCCAAUGAGGUCAUUCCCAAAGAGACUGCUUCCUCGAUUGGGACUAAAUGCGAUUUCGAACAAAGCCGUUUGGCUCGCCGGUAUCCUCGCGACAGCAGGUGUUAUGUCAAAAAUUCCUUCAUCAUCUGCACACAGAAAAAUACAUACCGUCAAUUAUUUAUUUUAAAAAUUUCAAAAGUUUCAGAAAUUUAUUCUCAAAUGUAUUAUAAGUUUGUCAAAGUAUCUUUAUUAAGAAAUAUAUAGUUGUCAUUCUAUUUA
This is an RNA transcript of Solenopsis invicta (red fire ant), 1472 nucleotides long. It is a transcript of the gene named tRNA (guanine-N(7)-)-methyltransferase, with no coding region annotated. NCBI's taxonomy places the organism in Eukaryota, Metazoa, Arthropoda, Insecta, Hymenoptera, Formicidae. The transcript is spliced from 8 exons. The record is from RefSeq and is a predicted model, not a curated record.